GACGAACGCUGGCGGCGUGCUUAACACAUGCAAGUCGAACGGAAAGGCCCUGCUUUUGUGGGGUGCUCGAGUGGCGAACGGGUGAGUAACACGUGAGUAACCUGCACUUGACUUUGGGAUAACUUCAGGAAACUGGGGCUAAUACCGGAUAGGAGCUCCUGCUGAAUGGUGGGGGUUGGAAAGUUUCGGCGGAUGGGGAUGGACUCGCGGGUUAUCAGCUUGUUGGUGGGGUAGUGGCUUACCAAGGCUUUGACGGGUAGCCGGCCUGAGAGGGUGACCGGCCACAUUGGGACUGUGAUACGGCCCAGACUCCUACGGGAGGCAGCAGUGGGGAUUAUUGCACAAUGCGCGGAAGCCUGAUGCAGCAACGCCGCGUGCGGGAUUACGGCCUUCGGGUUUUAAACCGCUUUCGCCUGUGACGAAGCGUGAGUGACGGUAAUGUGUAAAUAAGCACCGGCUAACUACGUG
RNAcentral lists this ribosomal RNA (468 nucleotides) under uncultured bacterium. Its description in RNAcentral is "partial 16S ribosomal RNA". It matches the Rfam family "Bacterial small subunit ribosomal RNA", at positions 28 to 507 of the family's 1533-position model. The record is from RNAcentral.